AUGAUGGAGGGAAACGCCCACCUCCUCCAGGUCAUCCGCAAAAUGCAUUUGGAAAUCACUAAACUGGAGAGAGAAAACAGGGCCCUGAGAGGAGAGCUCCAAUUCUGCGGGUGGAGAGCGCUGCAGAAGGAGCAAGAAGCAGGAGGAGAAGGUGGAGAUGGAGAAUCCAGGACCCUCGCUGCCGACAAGGAAGUGUCCGUUGGUUUACCAGCAUCCCUCUGUAGAAACGUCUUGGCUGGUCCCACGCUUGCACCAAAGGAGCAGAAAGAUAACAGCAUGACUGUACGGCGCUAUGCCAUUGCUUCGUCAGUGCAACCUGCUUCUGGCAUGAGGCCCCACAGAGCUGAUAAAAGGCCUCCAAGCAACGGGCUCCUGGAAGUGCCGGCAAGUGCUCAGCUGCCGGCUGGUCCUGCUACAACGCAACUAACCAAUGAAGAGGAAAAAGGGGUUGAAAAAAUCCCAGCCAAUCGUUUCUCCAAGAGUAAUUCCAGCAAAAUGAAGCUGUUUCAAGAGCAUGUUUAUAAAUGCAGCACGAACCCAGUGCAGGGCUCCACAGGAGGUCCUCUGCUUGACCACGGAUCAAUUCCAGCCUUCCAGGUAAUGCUCCCUGUAUCAAGCUAA
Molecule: long non-coding RNA, 621 nt
Filed under: Struthio camelus australis
Lineage: Eukaryota; Metazoa; Chordata; Aves; Struthioniformes; Struthionidae
Description: lncRNA (ENSSCUG00000009858.1)
Source: RNAcentral